Long non-coding RNA from Sander lucioperca (pikeperch), 127 nucleotides. RefSeq lists it as uncharacterized. The record is from RefSeq and is a predicted model, not a curated record. The transcript has 3 exons. NCBI's taxonomy places the organism in Eukaryota, Metazoa, Chordata, Actinopteri, Perciformes, Percidae.
GAGCCAGGCUAACCCCCUGCUGCUGCAGGCAAAGCAUAGCUUGUUAGCUCAGCAAGCAAGCAACAUGUCGGUAAAGGAUAUUUGCCGUUUGUGUAACGAGAAUUUACGAAUAAAAGGCACCAUUUCA